UACGAAGGGGGCUAGCGUUGCUCGGAAUUACUGGGCGUAAAGGGCGCGUAGGCGGACAGUUUAGUCAGAGGUGAAAGCCCAGGGCUCAACCUUGGAAUUGCCUUUGAUACUGGCUGUCUUGAGUUCGGGAGAGGUGAGUGGAAUGCCGAGUGUAGAGGUGAAAUUCGUAGAUAUUCGGCGGAACACCAGUGGCGAAGGCGGCUACCUGGACCGGUUCUGACGCUGAGGCGCGAAAGCGUGGGUAGCAAACAGG
Molecule: ribosomal RNA, 253 nt
Filed under: uncultured bacterium
Lineage: Bacteria
Description: partial 16S ribosomal RNA
Rfam family: Bacterial small subunit ribosomal RNA
Source: RNAcentral